This 335-nucleotide long non-coding RNA is filed under the name Dromaius novaehollandiae (emu). RNAcentral describes it as "lncRNA (ENSDNVG00000016052.1)". Lineage: Eukaryota; Metazoa; Chordata; Aves; Casuariiformes; Dromaiidae. The record is from RNAcentral.
CUGAAGCCUUAUGUUCUUGACUGGGACAGAGGCCUGUGUAGUCACUGGGAAGAAGUAGGCACUCUGAGGCAUGGCUCACCCURUCCUAGGAGAGAUGCUCCAGCUGUAUUUCAUGCCAGGCAGGGUGAAAAGCUCCCUGUGUGAUGGGCACAUUCAAGGAAGAAGUCUAGAGCUGCCUCUGUUAUCACCACAAACACCAUGGCAGCAGGCAAAGAUGGGUGGUAGCCGUGACAACGCGGAGGAACUCUUAGACUUCCCUUCGGAGCUGGAGGCAGAUCCGAGCAGCUGUGUUUGGCAUGGCGGGGUCGGGCGGUUGGAGCAGGAGACGAGACGGC